CCAUUUUCCCUGUUUUACGAAAAUAUUCCCCUUAUCUUUAUGUUUCAAUGCCUCAUUAUGAUUUUUCUCUAAUUCUUCUUUAGGCAACUCCUCAUCUGAUGAUUCACGCUCUUCCUGUUCAUCCAAUUGUGCACAGGCUUUGUCCUAUGAAUCAAAAUACCGCAAUCAAGUCAAUAAAUUUAAACUUAUUUCAAAUCAGGCAAAACCUAGUAAAAGAUGAACAGAAAUAAUGAAUCAAAAUGUUUAUUCACCACAUCAAAUUUUUCCCAUGAUGCAUAAUCUGAAGAUCUUAUUCGGUUCGGUUUUUCUUCAAUCUGUUUAAUCUUUGGUACAGCUUGUUUGUUAGCAGUAUUUUUCCUGGAUCUUAUUGGCGGAAGAACCUAAGAUCCGAGAAAAUACUUGGUAAAUAUUUAUACUAAUUAUCUAGUCACAGCAACCUAGAUAACAAUAUCUCUUAAGUAAGAGUAAUUCAAGAAGGCAUCAAUUGUUGAUGAAGAACUCAAUUGCUGACAAUGGAAUGCCAUGAAAAUAUAAGAACCUGAUCUCCAGCAGCAUAUUUGAGCUCCGCAUCCCUACGCUUCAUCUGUUCCUCCCAGUUUUUCAUGUCAAGAUCUAGAAUAGCAACGAGAUUCACGCUACUACGAUGAGUGUUGUCAAACGGUGGUCUAGGUUAUGAUUUGAUGUCACAAUUGUGUUUACACAAAGUCGUACGUACGAAUACUUACUAAAAUAAUCUUGUCAAUAUUUAGAUUCUGUUUCGAAGUAAUGAAGACCUCUUUCCCAGAAUUUUAGUGACUCCUUCAGGUAUUCAAAAAAGUGGAAAUAUCUUUCCUAGGUCUUCUAGUAUUACUGUUUUGAAACUGUCGAGACGAAGAUGACAUGAGGAUGACCAUUGGCCCACUGUUUCCAAUUUCAGCAGCGCAUACCACGUGCAGCGCCAAUUUGAAUUCAAAAAUUUCCUAUGGAAUGAGAAAGAUAUAAAAUUUAUUGUACGAUAGCUAAUGAUUGCAAGAUCCAUAUAACAUACAGAUUGUAACAACAGACCUUGAAUAAAAAAUGUACUUUCUCUCAA
Molecule: long non-coding RNA, 1072 nt
Organism: Athalia rosae (coleseed sawfly)
Lineage: Eukaryota; Metazoa; Arthropoda; Insecta; Hymenoptera; Athaliidae
Exons: 2
Source: RefSeq, a predicted model, not a curated record